UGGGGAAUAUUGGACAAUGGGCGCAAGCCUGAUCCAGCCAUGCCGCGUGAGUGAUGAAGGCCCUAGGGUUGUAAAGCUCUUUUGGCGGGGAAGAUAAUGACGGUAACCGUAGAAGAAGCCCCGGCUAACUUCGUGCCAGCAGCCGCGGUAAUACGAAGGGGGCUAGCGUUGUUCGGAAUUACUGGGCGUAAAGCGCACGUAGGCGGAUGUUUAAGUCAGGGGUGAAAUCCCGAGGCUCAACCUCGGAACUGCCUUUGAUACUGGGUAUCUCGAGUCCGGAAGAGGUGAGUGGAAUUCCGAGUGUAGAGGUGAAAUUCGUAGAUAUUCGGAGGAACACCAGUGGCGAAGGCGGCUCACUGGUCCGGUACUGACGCUGAGGUGCGAAAGCGUGGGGAGCAAACA
RNAcentral lists this ribosomal RNA (402 nucleotides) under uncultured prokaryote. Its description in RNAcentral is "bacterial SSU rRNA". It matches the Rfam family "Bacterial small subunit ribosomal RNA", at positions 355 to 774 of the family's 1533-position model. The record is from RNAcentral.